GAUGAACGCUAGCGGCAGGCUUAACACAUGCAAGUCGAGGGGUAGAAGGAGCUUGCUCCUUUGAGACCGGCGCACGGGUGCGUAACGCGUAUGCAAUCUACCUUUUGCAGAGGAUAGCCCAGAGAAAUUUGGAUUAAUACCUCAUAGUAUGUGAGGAUGGCAUCAUUUUCACAUUAAAGUCACAACGGCAAAAGAUGAGCAUGCGUCCCAUUAGCUAGUUGGUAAGGUAACGGCUUACCAAGGCUACGAUGGGUAGGGGUCCUGAGAGGGAGAUCCCCCCACACUGGUACUGAGACACGGACCAGACUCCUACGGGAGGCAGCAGUGA
This 328-nucleotide ribosomal RNA is filed under the name uncultured bacterium. RNAcentral's name for it is "bacterial SSU rRNA". It matches the Rfam family "Bacterial small subunit ribosomal RNA", at positions 28 to 357 of the family's 1533-position model. The record is from RNAcentral.